Molecule: ribosomal RNA, 500 nt
Filed under: uncultured Cortinariaceae
Lineage: Eukaryota; Fungi; Basidiomycota; Agaricomycetes; Agaricales; Cortinariaceae
Description: eukaryotic LSU rRNA
Rfam family: 5.8S ribosomal RNA (bases 108-261)
Source: RNAcentral
UAAUAAAAAAGUCUUUCCUUGCAUUUUCAGGCCUAUGUUUCUUCAUAUACUCUUAAUCUGUAUGUUUUAUAGAAUGUAUUAGGCCUUCUAUGCCUUAUAAUCUAUACAACUUUCAGCAACGGAUCUCUUGGCUCUCGCAUCGAUGAAGAACGCAGCGAAAUGCGAUAAGUAAUGUGAAUAGCAGAAUUCAGUGAAUCAUCGAAUCUUUGAACGCACCUUGCGCUCCUAGGUAUUCCGAGGAGCAUGCCUGUUUGAGUGUCAUUAAUAUAUCAACCUCUUCAGCUUUUGCUUUGUUGAGUGUUGGACGUGGGGGGUGUGUUUUUGCUGGCUUUUCGAGGUCGGCUCCCCUGAAAUGCAUUAGCAGGACAAUUUGUUGACUCUGUUCAUUGGUGUGAUAACUNAUCUACGCUAUUGACGGGGUAAAGGCAACGUUCAGCUUCUAACGGACCAUUAAGCUNGGACACACAUAUAUGNAAUUNACCUCAAAUCAGGAGACACCC